UUUCCCUUUCACAUAUUUACAAAAUGCGCCGCUUUAAUCAUAUAAUAUUUUAUUGUAUUGACUAAGGUGUAAUAUGAGCAAAGGGAAAGGACUAAUCCGCAAUAUUCCCACAAUCCCAUCGUAACCACCCAAUAUCUCCACGAUUCCAUCAUAACCAUCCAUUAUCUCACAAUCCCAUCGUGACCAUACAAAAUCUCUUCCACAAUCCUCGAUUCUCAUCGCACGUUUCCCUCAAAUCGGUUACAACCACCCACAUCCCACGACCCCAUCCUACGAUCCCGUAACCUCCUCACCCAUACGCACGUUUUCCUCAACCACCCUCAAAUCGUACGCACGUCUCCCUCAAAUCACCCCAUAAAUACCUUUCAAAAAAAAAU
RNAcentral lists this long non-coding RNA (377 nucleotides) under Ananas comosus (pineapple). Its description in RNAcentral is "long non-coding RNA (ACOM_LNC039444)". Lineage: Eukaryota; Viridiplantae; Streptophyta; Magnoliopsida; Poales; Bromeliaceae. The record is from RNAcentral.